AUUAAGUUAGUUUAAAGAAGAACAUUAGGAUGUGGGCCUAAAAAUAAAAUUAGUUUUACUUAAUA
Molecule: transfer RNA, 65 nt
Filed under: Lirapex sp. ZZ-2022
Lineage: Eukaryota; Metazoa; Mollusca; Gastropoda; Neomphalida; Peltospiridae
Description: tRNA-His
Source: RNAcentral